AUUCUGAGGAGGAUAGAGUUUCUUCGCCAUCAUCUUCUGAAGUAUCAAGGAUCAAUUCAGACUCGGACGAAGAUGAUCCUGUGGCUCCUCUACAACCAAACGUUACCUAUUAUCGUUGUACAUUAUCUAGCCCUACUGUUGAAGGGCUGCAGGUUCACGAAAUACAACCGUAUUCUGUGGAUCCUCUACAACCAGACGUUGCUGCCCAUUUCCAUUUAGCUGUUUCUGGUAACGGAGAACUGCAGCUUCGUGAAAUAUGGCGGCUUAAUCGCGGUGAGUACCCCAGGACUGGUCAAAGGUAUCCACCAAUCUUGGUAACAGCUGAUGAGCCACAUUACAUGAUCCAGUGGUUAGAUGACUCAGGUUAUGUCUCCUACAUUGAUGUCAACAACAACGAGGUUUUCCUUUGAACACGGAGCAGAGAACAAUUUAAGGUUUCUUUUUUUCAUUAUAUAAAUUACAUUUGUAUUUGUAUAGCUUUAAAGUUAUUCAAUAAAUAAAUAAUUGGUUUUGCUUGAA
Molecule: RNA transcript, 519 nt
Organism: Macrosteles quadrilineatus (aster leafhopper)
Lineage: Eukaryota; Metazoa; Arthropoda; Insecta; Hemiptera; Cicadellidae
Exons: 4
Source: RefSeq, a predicted model, not a curated record